CUCAUCUCUUCUCUUCUUCUCUGACCUGCAGGUACUUUUAGAAGACGUGCUGAGCCAAACCCUAACCAGUCACACCGGUCUUCUGAGGCGUAACAACCAAUGGCGUCCUGGUGUUGGUCGUCUCUGGUCCUCUGUCUCCUCCUCACGUCGUCCUCGGCUCAUGACGACUUCUUCACCUCCAUCAGUAAGAUGACUGACCUGCUGUUCACAGAGAAGGACCUGCUCACGUCUCUGAAGAACUACAUCCAAGCUGAGGAGAAGAAACUGGAGCAAAUCA
Molecule: long non-coding RNA, 277 nt
Organism: Solea senegalensis (Senegalese sole)
Lineage: Eukaryota; Metazoa; Chordata; Actinopteri; Pleuronectiformes; Soleidae
Exons: 4
Source: RefSeq, a predicted model, not a curated record